CAGACUUGAUCAUUUCCCUAAACACUGACUGUCCAGGUUAUUUUAUUUGUUUAAGAGGAACUACAUUUUCCAAACAGCAUAUAAUGUCAGCCUGUGCCUGUGUCCAGAUCCUUAUCACAACUCUGCAGCAGUAUGUAAACACAGAUGCUGACUCAGGUCAUGAAGGUGUGCUAUGUGCUGGCCGAGUCAAACCCCAGAGAUGAGACGGAGGAGGAGGCAUUGCAGUAAAUCAUCAGCUAAACAUCUCUCCGAGGCUCUUUGAAUCAUUUCCUUAUAAGGACCAACGGGCUGGUGAUGCAGCGAUACAAUCAGGUCUGCUGUAGGUCCAGGAAAAAUUUGCUCCCUUGAUUUAUUUUUUUUUUUUAAAUGAAGCACAAUGGGAAGUUUGACUUGAGUAGGACUGGACAGAGAACAGGGCGGACAGGAGGCAGGAAGACUGAUGGGUGUCUAAAAGACCGGGAGGAAGAGACAGUGUGGACACCCAAAAAAAAGUGUAAAAGAAAAGGGAACCGGGUCCAGCAUCCAGCAGUCGGAAAUACCAGCGUGACGGAGAGCUGCGGUCUGAUCGCUCAGCUGAUGACGGACACUUCCUCCUGGAGUCUGCCUGAUAACACUGUUUACACGGGGUAACCUCGCCGCAAAACCCCUCAUCCAAAAAGACUAAUCCAGCAGUGGCAACCAUUCAAACAGCCAAAAGGUGUCCUGAGAAAGGUUCAGUUGCUCAAAGCCCGGGUUCAUUUCCCUGCUGCACCUCAAAGGAGAGUGGCACCGAAUGACAUAGUUCAAAGGAUUUAAUAAUAUGCUUCACCCCAAAAACUCGUAGACGACAAGCGUUUCGAGAGGUGGAAUGUCAUUUCGGAAUGAAACGUGUUUGUUUUGUUUGGGCCUCAGGACUGUUCCCUUGGUUGACUAAACACUGUAUGACAGCCAGUGUCUCGUGGGGUAACAGAGGAGUGCUCAAACGGCACAUAUCUGCGACAGCGGUGAGCCACUUGCAAUAUCAUGAAACAAAUUUUUAAUGGUACAAAAGUGUCAGUUGACACCACAAAGUUCACAAAGCCAGACUUUGUUGAUAGAGGAUAUAUGUUAUUUCCUUUUUUAAAUUUUUUUUUAAAGGAACCAAAGCAAUUAAACUGUGAUUGAAUAAUUUGAUAGUCGGAAUUUCAUUGGCCUUCAACUUCAUCUCAAUUGUAUUUUUUUUUCAAAAAGGUUGCGAACUACAGGUAAUAAUUAUGGAUUCUUACAUUUCUAGGCUUGGGGGUUUCAGAGAGACCCAGUGUCAGAGAAAAAGAGAAAUCAGCACAUUAAUUCAUUAGCUAUCCAUCAGCUCAUUAGCUUGUGAAUGGGGAAAGGAGCACAAUGAUUGUUGGAGGGCAGUGACCCAUGAUUGUGGUUUUGCUUGCAGAUGUAAAUGAAAACACACAUUCCAAUCUAAAAUCCCAGGGGAAACAUCACAUUCGCCUGAGCAGUGAGCAGGCACACAUACUGUAUAUGUUCUCACAGAGAGACAGACAGACAGACACACACACAAACACACACCAUAUAUCCAUCCAUGUAUCCAUCACCACUUGUCCAGUGCAGGUGAUGCUUCAACCAAAGAAAAAUGGUUUGCAGUGCUGGUCAUCACUCCUCCAAAGUCCGGCUAAUCAACAUGAUACUUUAAACUGAUCAACUUGAUGCAGACUCUGGCCAAAACCUGUUGCCAACUGCUGUUUAUCGAACUAAAUUCACCCUGAUGUCUGACCUGCGGUGCAGCAAAGUUUUGACUCUAAUUAUGACUGACUGAGCUCUUCUUCUCUAGAGUAGCAAAAGUUACGAAGAUUUUUUUUCCCCUGAUGUGCAGCUCUCAUAAAUUACUGAGAAGCAAGCAUAUGAAUCGAGUGAUGAUCACUCACCUGCUGAGCUGAAGCAGACAGAUCCUUGCCCAUCUCAUCUUGUUACUACAUUCAAACAGAUUCAAAUAGAUUCACAUAUUGAGCAUGUUCCUUUCCGUGUGAUUCAGAAGAACACACUUCUUCCCUGAACAUUUACAGGCCUAAUCAAAUUUAAAAUACUGUACGCUUGUUUAAAAUGUAAGAAAUUUAUUUUUCUUUUCUUUUUUCAUUUCCUUCUUACACCUGUCGCGGUCGCAGACGGUUGGGGUAUCUCGGUUCUGUUGGCCUGUAUAACAAUACGAGAUUGUGAACGUUGGUAUCAAGGAUUCGCUCUUGGUUUAAGAAUUGUUUCACCUAAAGUGUAGACGUCAACUAUUUCAUGUACAGAAAGCGCCUCUGAAAAAGAAACGCUCCGGGAAAACCUGUUUGACACUGACUUUGAUUCAAGCUUUAAGGGCAGAUAUCAGUUUAACAUCUGAUACUUCUAAUGAUGUCAGUGUAUUUGAUCCUCACAUCUGUGACCAUGUGCGGACGAAGCCUUUGACAAACACCUGCUGGCUGAGGUAAUCUAAGCGCCCAGCUGAGUGAUCGUGCAUGGCCCGAUCACUUUGCAGUGAGAUGAUUUCUCGCUUCUCAGCAUUGCUUUGACACCAUCUUUCUCAUCUUUGUUCAUCGGCACACACUGUACCUGAGGGGAAAUGAAGACACUGACUUAUCACAUAGCUGACAUAACCUGAAGGUCUGGUCUGUAAAAUGCAACACCUCUUUGUGUGGCGACGUAUAAUGUACAGUAAGUGAUGAAAUACAAUUUUGUAUUCAACCCCUUUUUUCUCACGGAUCCUCCAGGUGUCUUUUGAGACACCAAAUAGGAGUUUGUAUGAAAAAAACCUUCAGGACACUUUGCACUUCAGCUGGAUCAAGGGCGUGUGAACCCAUCAAUCACAUUCAAAUUCAUUUACGCAGAGCUAAUGGUUCAAACAUAAGUUGCCGCUUAGCAGAAUGAACCAGGGAGCCAAAGACGUCCUCGUAGUCUUUCAGCUGCGAUUUUUGCUUAGUCAGUCAUGACCGGUCAUUCAAGGAUAACCCCUCUUUGGUUCUUGGCAUCAGAGACCAAAUGGGAGAAACACUGGAGCAGGCAUGUGAGGCUUUGGUGGUUUGUUUUGAAUAAUAGUGAUUUAUGAUUUAUGAUGUAUGGACUUCAUCCAGAUGUUUUGGUGAUGUUUUCCUGUCAAUAAAAAUUCAAAAUUGAAGUUAUGCUGAAAAAUGCAAACUCCUGUGCUGUACCAUCGGAGUGAGAAACACAGACAAAAACCUGGCAUGCAUAUUAUUAAAUAUUGAAAUCAUUUAAAACAUGAUAUAUAAAAAUGUUCUGUUCCUUUUUUGUUUGUUUUUUGGAAGCAAAUAAGAGACCGUUUAUGUUUAAACUAACCAGAUGACAAUGUCUGUUUUGGAAAAUCUAAGUAUUUCAUCACAUUCAUGCAUAAAAAAUAAAAUAAAAACUUGCUUAAAGGAA
This is a long non-coding RNA of Scophthalmus maximus (turbot), 3387 nucleotides long. RefSeq lists it as uncharacterized. Lineage: Eukaryota; Metazoa; Chordata; Actinopteri; Pleuronectiformes; Scophthalmidae. The transcript is spliced from 2 exons. The record is from RefSeq and is a predicted model, not a curated record.